Molecule: ribosomal RNA, 470 nt
Filed under: uncultured bacterium
Lineage: Bacteria
Description: bacterial SSU rRNA
Rfam family: Bacterial small subunit ribosomal RNA
Source: RNAcentral
UGGGGAAUAUUGCGCAAUGGGCGAAAGCCUGACGCAGCAACACCGCGUGAGGGAUGACGGCCUUCGGGUUGUAAACCUCUUUCAGCUCCGACGAAGCGAAAGUGACGGUAGGAGCAGAAGAAGCACCGGCUAACUACGUGCCAGCAGCCGCGGUAAUACGUAGGGUGCAAGCGUUGUCCGGAAUUAUUGGGCGUAAAGAGCUCGUAGGCGGUUCGGUAAGUCGGGUGUGAAACUCUGGGCUCAACCCAGAGAGGCCACUCGAUACUGCUGUGACUAGAGUGCGGUAGGGGAGCGGGGAAUUCCUGGUGUAGCGGUGAAAUGCGCAGAUAUCAGGAGGAACACCAGUGGCGAAGGCGCCGCUCUGGGCCGUAACUGACGCUGAGGAGCGAAAGCAUGGGUAGCAAAGCAGGAUUAGAUACCCUGGUAGUCCAUGCCGUAAACGUUGGGCACUAGGUGUGGGUCUCAACCAA